CCUGAGAAACGGCUACCACAUCCAAGGAAGGCAGCAGGCGCGCAAAUUACCCACUCCCAGAACGGGGAGGUAGUGACGAAAAAUAACAAUACGGGACUCUUUUGAGACCCCGUAAUUGGAAUGAGUACACUCUAAAUCCUUUAACGAGGAUCUAUUCGAGGGCAAGUCUGGUGCCAGCCGCCGCGGUAAUUCCAGCUCGAAUAGCGUAUAUUAAAGUUGUUGCGGUUAAAAAGCUCGUAGUUGGAUCUCAGUUCCAGACGGGUGGUCCGCCAAACGGUGGUUACUGCCCGUUCUGAACAGCCAGCCGGUUUCUCUUGAUGAUCUUCACCGGUUGUCUCGGGUGACCGGCAAGUUUACUUUGAAAAAAUUAGAGUGCUCAAAGCAGGCGCGACGCCUGAAUAAUGGUGCAUGGAAUAAUGGAAUAGGACCUCGGUUCUAUUUUGUUGGUUUUCGGAACACGAGGUAAUGAUUAAGAGGGACAGACGGGGGCAUUCGUAUUGCGACGCUAGAG
Molecule: ribosomal RNA, 511 nt
Filed under: Trochosa terricola
Lineage: Eukaryota; Metazoa; Arthropoda; Arachnida; Araneae; Lycosidae
Also listed under: 1 other name
Description: SSU rRNA
Rfam family: Eukaryotic small subunit ribosomal RNA
Source: RNAcentral